Molecule: ribosomal RNA, 341 nt
Filed under: Escherichia coli
Lineage: Bacteria; Pseudomonadati; Pseudomonadota; Gammaproteobacteria; Enterobacterales; Enterobacteriaceae
Description: partial 23S ribosomal RNA
Rfam family: Bacterial large subunit ribosomal RNA
Source: RNAcentral
UGGGAAACAGGUUAAUAUUCCUGUACUUGGUGUUACUGCGAAGGGGGGACGGAGAAGGCUAUGUUGGCCGGGCGACGGUUGUCCCGGUUUAAGCGUGUAGGCUGGUUUUCCAGGCAAAUCCGGAAAACUAAGGCUGAGGCGUGAUGACGAGGCACUACGGUGCUGAAGCAACAAAUGCCCUGCUUCCAGGAAAAGCCUCUAAGCAUCAGGUAACCAUCAAAUCGUACCCCAAACCGACACAGGUGGUCAGGUAGAGAAUACCAAGGCGCUUGAGAGAACUCGGGUGAAGGAACUAGGCAAAAUGGUGCCGUAACUUCGGGAGAAGGCACGCUGAUAUGUAG